AAAGGAGUCACGUACUGAGCAAACGCAAUGCUAAUGUCAAACAUUAACGUAAAAAUUUAAUGUAAUUCAACGAAUACGAUCUAAAAGUCGUGUUUUAACGAAUACGAUAAUAGCUUUAACAGGUGGGUGCCAAGUUUCAAGUCAAUCGGAUGCACGGUUCAGUGGUUAUAACGGAACAUCCGUAAAAACCACUUUAGAUUUAUAUAUAUUAGUAUAGAUGUACAGAUAAGAGCGGUACCUAAUGAAUCCACGGUACAGCAUGAACGCGCCGUACAGACUGAGCACCAGGGUGGCCGUCCACACCACGGCCAGCACUGAACUGCUCCCCUCUGUAGAACAUCAUGGAGCAUAUUAUUUCCCUCGGUUCGUCCGAGUCGUAGACACAAACAAAACUUUUUUAUUUGUCGAUUAAAAAUUUGAAUACUAUUUUAAUGAUUUUAUGAUGAACUGCCAUCGAAACGUCGCUAAUUAUAUAAUGACAAUAAUAAACGUCCGAUGAAACUA
Molecule: long non-coding RNA, 504 nt
Organism: Bombyx mori (domestic silkworm)
Lineage: Eukaryota; Metazoa; Arthropoda; Insecta; Lepidoptera; Bombycidae
Exons: 2
Source: RefSeq, a predicted model, not a curated record